GUAGGGCGCAAGCGUUGUCCGGAAUUAUUGGGCGUAAAGAGCUCGUAGGCGGUUUGUCGCGUCUGUCGUGAAAGCCCACGGCUUAACCGUGGGUCUGCGGUGGAUACGGGCAGACUAGAGGCAGGUAGGGGAGAAUGGAAUUCCCGGUGUAGCGGUGAAAUGCGCAGAUAUCGGGAGGAACACCGGUGGCGAAGGCGGUUCUCUGGGCCUGUUCUGACGCUGAGGAGCGAAAGCGUGGGGAGCGAACAGGAUUAGAUACCCUGGUAGUCCACGCCGUAAACGUUGGGCGCUAGGUGUGGGGUUCUUCCACGGAUUCCGCGCCGUAGCUAACGCAUUAAGCGCCCCGCCUGGGGAGUACGGCCGCAAGGCUA
Molecule: ribosomal RNA, 371 nt
Filed under: uncultured bacterium
Lineage: Bacteria
Description: bacterial SSU rRNA
Rfam family: Bacterial small subunit ribosomal RNA
Source: RNAcentral